This is a long non-coding RNA of Bos taurus (domestic cattle), 2583 nucleotides long. The record is from Ensembl. Lineage: Eukaryota; Metazoa; Chordata; Mammalia; Artiodactyla; Bovidae.
GGGUUUUGUCCACAGUUGCCAGCCCCUUUGUGGAUUUGGCUCUGAUUCUUGCUUCUUUACUUUCUUAUUUUCUUUUCCCUCCUUCCUUGCCCCCCUCCGUCUGUCCCUUCUUUCCUGCCUGCCUUGUACACCUACAGCGUCCCUUGUUACCUGCCAGAGUGCACAUCCUGCCAGCCAUUCCAGGGCAGGAACUGAGGCCCCAGGGACAGGACUCUGCACCCGAGUCCAUGUGUCCACCUGGGGCCCCGGGGCGGGGCGAGGGUGGAGCAGAGCUGAAGCGGCGGUGGGGGUGGCUGCAUCUCUUGGGACAGCUCUGUCCUGGGAGCCCAGCCUGAGGGGAGAGACAGCCCUGGCCUGAGGGCUCUAUUAAGGGAGGAGAUACCACAGUGUUCCAAGGAGCCCCAGCCUAAGUGGUGGGGACGGGUCCAAAGCUCUACCCCAGGCCUCCUGUCCGGGAGACAGUGCUACCACCCGUCACAAUUGUUCACUAAGCCCGUUGCAUUCUUUGAUAGGAAUAUUGAUGGCUAAGAGCUGAGGGCAAGGAAGCCAGGGUAGGGUGUGUAAGCGAGUGUGGUGGCUGCCUGCACCCCUUGAGGAGACUGGAACGGGGCCCACUCCACUGUGGUUUCAUCCAAGUGGCUCUUCUGACCCCACAGUUCCCCUGCAGCCAGCUAAGUCUCCUGGGCUGGGCUGCAACCAGGCAGGACUUUUCAAGCAAUCACCUGGAAAAUGCUCUCCUGGGCCCCAUGGAGAAGGGUCUUAGGCAAAGCCCUGGAAUCUAGGUUUCAGUUGAACUCCCAAGGGGACACAGAGUCAGGAAUCAUUUCUAGUAACACGGACUACUACUCUCUCUGGGUCACAGGUGGGGAAAGCGGUCCAGGAAGUUGCUGAUGGUCGCAUCAAGUCAGGCACUGUGUCCAGACCUUGAGCAGACCAGGGGCCGUGUCCAGUCCUGAGGAUUCGGGGCCAGUGGGGAGCGGGGAACGUUCUGUACCUGGCUCUGCUCCGCCCUCUGUUGGCUGGGCCCAGACCUGCCUUGGCCUGGCUUCUCUCCGCCCAGGUGGCCCCACUAUGUGCGGCCUCUUUCCUUUUACUAAUAAAAGGAGGCAGGUGCUCAGGUGAGCCUUCGGUUUGCUUGCGGCCCUGCCCCCUGGCUGCCCUUCUGGCUCCACAGCUCAGUACAAACAGCCGAGGGUCCCAACCCACUGGUUUUGCAGCCAGGAGUUAAGCCUGCAAGAAGGGGAAAUGGAGCAUGUGUUCCCACCUGAUGGAACAUGCCUCUGCUGACCCCAGAGGCCCCUCUAGAGGUGGGAGUGGUUGCCUCAGCCCCUGGGGCCACCCCCCAACCCUGCCUGCUGCCCCGUAGGCCUGGCCCCAGCUGAGGAAGCAGAGCUUGCCACCUGCUGGCUCUGAGGACACAUAGACGCCAGCUUCCAGGGGGCCUGUCUUCCCCAGCCCCGUCUACCAGCACCCUGGCAUUGCUAAGCCCCACAGGUGGCAUGAAUCCCAGCCGCUAUACCUGGUCCCCACCGGCUCUGCCUGCUGCUUCUAGCCCGAAUUUGCCCCCAGCUGCGCAGAGAUGUGUGUCUGGGUGCCCGCAUUGCAGCACUGCAGCAAAGGGUGCCUGGCCUGCCUCGAGGAGACCUCUCCCUGCUCGGCUGAUGCCACGUUCUGUGUACCGGCGUGCUUUCCACGCAGCCCCAGCAGGUCUCCCUGUUUCCUUGUGGCCCCGAGGCUGACCUCCCUGAUGUGGGUCCUAAGCUUCAGCUGGGCCCACCCUGAGGCUCCUGCAAUACUUCCUCUCAUGCUGGUCUUCCUCCCGGGGACCCUUCUGGAGUUUGAUGACACGGACUUCAGUGAGGGAGAGCCCAGUGCCCCUUCCCCCUUGGCUCUGUGGCUGGGGAACCCACACCAGGCCCUCAGACCAGUCUAGAUCCACAGCCUCCUGCUUUUUGACUGCUGGCCCAUCCACAACCUGGACACUGGAGCCCCUGGGCAUAGAGGUAUAAUGACCCCCAGGACAUCACAAGCAGAGCCUACCGGCACCAGGCCCUGGCUCUCAGGGUUUAGCCAGGCAGUGGGAGUGUCCCUGGGCAGAGGGCUCAGUCCUGAGGACCCAGCUGUCCUUCUGCCUUGGCUGUUGGGGCCCCCAACUCGACUCAUUCAGGAGUCCUGGAGACCACCGCAGGAGGCUGUAGCCAGCAGCAGGGAGUGCCUGGUGUUUCUGUCCCUCUUUUUUGGGUGUGAAGGGCUGGGCGCUUUGGGGGGACUACAAGUCCCCUCUGGUCAGACUUGUGGGACCGCCCCUGUCCCACAGGCAGGUCUGAGCAGUCCAGGCCCAAAGACAGAGGGACUCUGCUCUUCCCUCGAGCAGAGUCCCUCUGUCUUUCCAGCCGACCAACAGGCCCAAAGCCCUGGUAUUGGUUGGGUGGCCUGUGUCCCAUUCCACUCUGUCCCUGGCUCCAGUCCUGGCCUGGAAUGUGGGUACCUUACAGUUGGAGGUCACAGAUGGCAGGUUGUUACAGCAUGGCCUGCCUGUACCCAGGGCCUGGCCACCAAGGCUCCCAUGCCCUUCUCCACUUC